AUGUUUUACCAGGUGUUUUGGGAAGUAGUGAAAGUUGACCUGAUUAGGUUGUUUGAGUUUUGGUUUGAUGGGAACCUGGAUUUGUUCAGACUGAACUUUGCUAUGAUUACCUUAAUCCCAAAAGAGAACGAAGCUAGAACUAUGAACAAAUUCAGACCAAUUAGUCUACUUAACUGCGUGUCUAAAAUUUUUACUAAGGUAUUGACUAACAAAUUAGCUUCCAUUAUUGGUAGACUGAUUACAGAGUGCCAGUCUGCCUUUGUGAGAGGUAGAUACAUACUGCAGAGUGUGGUGACUGCACAUGAGAUUGUGCAUGCAGUACAUUCUUCAGGGAGACAAGGGUUGGUGUUCAAAAUAGACUAUGAGAAGGCCUACGAUAGGGUUAACCUAGAUUUCCUACUCGAGCUGUUGGCUCUUGAGGUUUUGGUACUAGGUGGUUAUCUUGGAUUAGAAGUGUGA
Molecule: ribosomal RNA, 459 nt
Filed under: Triticum aestivum (bread wheat)
Lineage: Eukaryota; Viridiplantae; Streptophyta; Magnoliopsida; Poales; Poaceae
Description: partial small subunit ribosomal RNA
Source: RNAcentral